CUGGCGGCACGCUUAACACAUGCAAGUCGAACGGAGUUUAGAGAGCUUGCUUUUAAACUUAGUGGCGGACGGGUGAGUAACACGUGAGCAAUCUGCCUUUCAGAGGGGGAUAGCAGUUGGAAACGACUGAUAAUACCGCAUAAUAUAGUAGGAUCGCAUGAUUUAACUAUCAAAGAUUUAUCGCUGAAAGAUGAGCUCGCGUCUGAUUAGAUAGUUGGUGAGGUAACGGCUCACCAAGUCGACGAUCAGUAGCCGGACUGAGAGGUUGAACGGCCACAUUGGGACUGAGACACGGCCCAGACUCCUACGGGAGGCAGCAGUGGGGAAUAUUGCACAAUGGGCGCAAGCCUGAUGCCAGCGAUGCCGCGUGAGGGAAGAAGGUUUUAGGAUUGUAAACCUCUGUCUUCAGGGACGAUAAUGACGGUACCUGAGGAGGAAGCUCCGGCUAACCACGUGCCAGCCGCAGC
This 467-nucleotide ribosomal RNA is filed under the name uncultured bacterium. RNAcentral's name for it is "bacterial SSU rRNA". It matches the Rfam family "Bacterial small subunit ribosomal RNA", at positions 36 to 518 of the family's 1533-position model. The record is from RNAcentral.